Molecule: ribosomal RNA, 430 nt
Filed under: Bacteroidota bacterium
Lineage: Bacteria; Pseudomonadati; Bacteroidota
Description: Bacteroidetes bacterium partial 16S ribosomal RNA
Rfam family: Bacterial small subunit ribosomal RNA
Source: RNAcentral
UAGGGAAUCUUCGGCAAUGGGGGGAACCCUGACCGAGCAACGCCGCGUGAGUGAAGAAGGUUUUCGGAUCGUAAAGCUCUGUUGUUAAGGAAGAACGAGUGUGAGAAUGGAAAGUUCAUACUGUGACGGUACUUAACCAGAAAGGGACGGCUAACUACGUGCCAGCAGCCGCGGUAAUACGUAGGUCCCGAGCGUUGUCCGGAUUUAUUGGGCGUAAAGCGAGCGCAGGCGGUUAGAUAAGUCUGAUGUGAAAGCCCCCGGCUCAACCGGGGAGGGUCAUUGGAAACUGGUUGACUUGAGUGCAGAAGGGGAGAGUGGAAUUCCAUGUGUAGCGGUGAAAUGCGUAGAUAUAUGGAGGAACACCAGUGGCGAAGGCGACUCUCUGGUCUGUAACUGACGCUGAGGUUCGAAAGCGUGGGUAGCAAACAGG